AGAAAACAGAGAGGUGCGAGAGAGAAUGGGGUUAUCGUGCUUAGCUUGCUUUGAUGGAGGCAGCAAGCGACAGAGACAGGAAGAAGAUAGAUUGGCUGCUGCAGAAGCUCGUGCCAAAGCCGCCGAAGCUGCACAGAAAAGGCAAGAGGAAUUUGAAAAAUCUGCUGCUGGCAGAGCUGCACGGGCACAACUACAGGGCAUGGCAAAACAAUCUGCAAAUUCUAAUAAAGGCGAACCAGUUCUGAAGUGGCAAGUCGGUUGAGGUUAAGCCUGUUAUCAGUGCAGCAGAAUGUGUUAUUGUAAGUUGGAGAAAAUCUAUUGGUAUAGAAUUGAAACUAUUUAUGACGAUUGCUUGAUAUGUUCCAUUUUUCUCUAUUUUCUGCAGCAUGCAUCAUAAUUCAUAAACGUAUAUUAGCCCUGAUUAUGCCACUUUAACCUAAAAAUUCUCAGGAUCUGUUAUUUGCAUGAGAUUAAAUGGUCAUAAGAUGCCCCAUACAUUAGGAAUCAGAUUCUAGUGGUUUCUGACUUAUUUGAUAUUUGCAUCUGAUGAGAUCAGUUUCACGUCUAGGAAAAAUUUGUGUUUGGGAAAAUUAUGUUCAAACUUCCAGUUUCAUGAAAUGCUCCAUUCAUAUAAUUCCUAAACUAAGAUUUCGAUUAAUUACUAGUUUCAGUUAUACAAUAGCAGUUAACUUUUGAGCCACUUAACUUUCUGUGCUGUAUUUA
Molecule: RNA transcript, 723 nt
Organism: Ricinus communis (castor bean)
Lineage: Eukaryota; Viridiplantae; Streptophyta; Magnoliopsida; Malpighiales; Euphorbiaceae
Exons: 4
Source: RefSeq, a predicted model, not a curated record